Molecule: non-coding RNA, 4015 nt
Organism: Podarcis lilfordi (Lilford's wall lizard)
Lineage: Eukaryota; Metazoa; Chordata; Lepidosauria; Squamata; Lacertidae
Source: the annotation of a GenBank genome assembly
GUGGUGCUUCAGGUUAAGAACAGUUUCAGGUUAAGAACGGACCUCCGGUGGUUGAGACAAAAUAAAACUUACACUUCUAUCAUCAUGCCCCCAGUCAAAUUUGUGACUGAAUGUUAAAUUUAUAUGUCAGGAUAGCUCAGCUGAUUAGAGCAUGAUGCUGACACUGCCAAGGUUGCAGGUUUGAUGCCUGUAUGGGACAGCUGCGUAUUCAGGUUGGACGAAACCAUCCUCAGGGUCUCUUCCAACUCUAUAAGGGUUGCCGUAUGUCCGAAAUUUCCCAGACAUAGCUAGAAUACAACAGUUGGAAACAGUGUCUGGGCGGAAAUUGAUUUAAUGUCUGGGAAAAUCCAGACAUUCCAUGUUGGAAGUCUAAAUUUUGGUGAAUUUCCUUAAAAAUAGCUCAAACACUUCGUUUUUAUUUAUUUUUUUGAAGAUUUUCCAAAAAAAGAGAGAAGCUAAACAACUUGCUUAGCCUACUGCUGAUUAAUCUAGCCUUCCUUCACCCCACUUCAAUUCUCUUUUCUCAAUAGCAAGCAUGGUUUAAAUUUGAAUUCCAACCACAAUGUAUCUCUUCAGAAACACUUUUACUCAGAUUAUGCACUACUUACCAUGAACAGCAAAUGCCACGAUCCGUCUGUGGUUUUCCAUCAAAAAGCAUAUGACACCAAGGAAAUUCUUAUAGCCUAAUCCUAUACAUGUUUACUUGCUUGAAAAUCUCAUUGAAUUCAACACAGCUUCUGCCCAACCCAAGUCAGUGUAGCCUCAGUUCUCUACACUAACAGCAAAGUCAUUAUUUGAGUCCUGAUCCUUAUGUAGCCAAAACUGUGCCAUCCACUCACAAAAGGAAGUAUCAGUAGGACUGGUUUUGGAGAAAAAAAUCUGUAGGAAAAUAAACUGAAAGGGCAGGGGGAAACCCAAAAUAUUUCAGUGAGGGCUGAGAGUGUGCCCAGUGAGCAACAGAGGACAGAGCAUCUGUUGGAAGGAGAAAUGAAAAAUUGGGGUGCAAAUGGAGUAUCCUGGAAAGGAACAUGGCUAGCUGUCUGGAACUGAGGCUUAACAGAAACACUCCAAAUUAUUUAAUGUAAUGUGUCAUUUCAAAGCAAUCCUCAGCCUUGAACUCUUUUGUUGUAGGUUGCCCUGACCCUUGGUGACACCUGAGCUCUGAAGCUGAAGGCCACCAGAGGGUCAUGACACCUCUGCCUUAGUAGGUCCACUGUGACACUGAAGAAUGUUCAGGGAAGGUCAGCUUGCAGCUUUCAAACAGGGAUUUGGGCUGGGUGUUCAUCAGUAUGCGGAUGAUACCCAGCUCUACCUGUCUUUUAAAUCAGAACCAGUGAAGGCGGUGAAGGACCUGUGUGAGGGUCUGGAGGUGGUUGGAGGAUUGAUGGCAGCUAACAGAUUGAGAUUGAAUCCUGACAAGACGUAAGUACUGAUUUUGGGGGACAGGAGGCAGGCAGGUGUGGAGGACUCCCUGGUCCUGAAUGGGGUAACUGUUCCCCUGAAGGACCAGGUGUGUAGCCUGGGAGUCAUUUUGGACUCACAGCUGUCCAUGGAGGCACAGGUCAAAUCUGUGUCUACCAGCUCCAGCUAGUACACAGGCUGAGACCCUCCUUGCCAGCAGACUGUCUCGCCAGUGUGGUGUAGUGGUUAAGAGCGGUAGUCACGUAAUCUGGGGAACUGGGUUCGUGUCUCAGCUCCUCCACAUGCAGCUGCUGGGUGACCUUGGGCCAGUCACACUUCUUUGAAGUCUCUCAGCCCCACUCACCUCACAGAGUGUGUGUUGUGGGGGAGGAAGGGAAAGGAGAUUGUUAGCCGCUUUGAGACUCCUGAAGGGGAGUGAAAGGCGGGAUAUCAAAUCCAAACUCUUCUUCUUCUUCUUCGCCAGAGUGCUGCAUGCUCUAGUUAUCUCCUGCUUGGACUACUGCAAUGCGCUCUACAAGGGACUACCUUUGAAGGGGACUCAGAAACUACAAUUAAUCCAGCUAGACUGGGGACUGGGAGUGGCCACCAGGACCAUAUAACACCAGUCCUGAAAGACCUACAUAGGCUCCCAGUACGUUUCCGAGCACAAUUCAAAGUGUUGGUGCUGACCUUUAAAGCCCUAAAUGGCCUCGGCCCAGUAUACCUGAAGGAGGAUCUUCACCCCCAUCGUUCAGCCCGGACAUUGAGGUCCAGCUCCGAGGGCCUUCUAGCGGUUCCCUCCCUGCGAGAAGCGAGGUUACAGGGAACCAGGCAGAGGGCCUUCUCGGUAGUGGUGUCCGCCCUUUGGAAUGCCCUAUCAGAUGUCAAGGAAAUAAUAACUACCUGACUUUUAGAAGACAUCUGAAGGCAGCCUUGUUUAGGGAAGUUUUUAAUGCUUGAUGUUUUAUUGUGUUUUUAAUAUUCUGUUGGGAGCCGCCCAGAGUAGCUGGGGAAACCCAGCCAGAUGGGCGGGGUAAAAGUAAUAUAUUAUUAUUAUUGUUAUUAUUAUUAUUAUUAUUAUUAUUAUUAUUACCUGGAGAUGCCCACCAUGUUUCUUAUGGAGAGAAUAACAUUCCAUAAGAGAAGAGACUGCAAUCAUUAAUUGACUGGCUUCCACUGCUAGCAACAUGUAUGUCUCCAAGUUUAUUACUUUGUGACAAAUGGUUAGUUAACAACUGUCUGGGAAGGGCACGAUAUCAGUAGUACAAUGGGCAUCAUAAUCCUUGUGUUUUCUCUAUGGGGUUCUUGCAUAUCUUGUGACAAAUUAGAGGUAAAUCAUUCCUUGAUUUUAGGGCCUAUACUUGAAUAAAGUAAAGAUUCCUUUAUCUUAUUAUUUUUGCACAGCUCCUAUGAACAUCCAUUUUAACCCAGGGACAUUCACGAUCUCACAUUCAGCGUCUCUCUUUCCUGGUUAAACAAAAUGAGUAUUCCUAAUACAAUUAUUAGCAGAAUGUGGCUCAGUAGUAGAAGGUCCUUGGUUGGAUCUCUGGAAUCUCUGGGGUACGACUCCUGCCUGAAAUUGUGAGCAGCCACUAUUGGUCUGACUUGCAAUAAGGCAGUUUCUUAUGUUCCUACCUUGCCCUGAAAGAAAGUAAGACAGGGAAAAGUCCAGCUGACUCAUUCAACUUAUGUUGGUGAAACAAUUCUUAUCUGCCUUUGUUGACAGGUGGAGGGAACCCCACCAACUGACUCCAAACGGAGGUCAAAACAUGAGAGUUUGCUAUAAAAAUAGAGCACAUCGUGUUCUUUAAUUUCUGCCAAAUGGAGGAAAACCUGGCACCUGCACUUCUUUUGUUUUGAGAGCAAAAGUGUAAAUCAGAUUUUAAAAAAGGAAGUCAGCAGCAAAACCUGUUGUAAGUAUCAUGGAAGGCUUAAAGGGCGUACCAGUCAGGAAGAUGGACAAUAACUUUCUGUAUCACACGCAACAGCAGAAUAGAUACAGAAAACAAAGUCCAGUGCCAUCUAGUGACUAAACGAUAUAAUGACGCUAUCCACGUAAUAUAUCCACUCUUUCUCUCCAAGUGACACUCAACCUAAAAAGGCUGGGCUGAACCUGAACUUCCUACUGAUUCAGAUAUUUAAACACUAUAUUGGAUCGGCUCCUUUUCAUGCUUGUUUUAGUAGAUCACUGGACAACAUUUCAAGGCCUUGCUUUCUGCUGGAUAAAUGGGACUUGUAACUCAGUGCGUUAGUCCAAAAUCAAGUGCCAAAUGGUCAGCUCCUAAGAACAUCUACUGCAUCCAGAAUUUGGUGGUGGCAUCCAGAAUUUGGCUGAUUUCCUCCUUUCCAUUCUACUAUAUCAUGUGCUGCUUUUUCUCUCCUUAAACACUCACUCACUCACUCACUCCCAGUGUACCUGAGAGUUGCUCCACACAUAUCGGACCACCACCUGAUGACUUACAGUUGAACAGAACAAGGUGACAUUAACAUUCUAUGUUUAAAUGUGUGGAACAUUGCAAUUUCAGGGGGAAAAAUAUUUAGUUUAAAAUUAAUUCAAGGCAAAGUGCAACCUUUGGAUUUUUGUGAAGUGUGGUGGAAUUUUAUACAAUAUGCU